GGAGCCAGUCCAGGUAAUGGAGCAGAGACUGGAGCAGAGACAAGUUGUUCCCACUGAGCUCUCCUCAGAUUACAGAUUGGUGAUACAUCACAGGGGCUCAUGAAUGUGUCUUAAGCUGGGUCAUUGAAGUGGAAUGUUUUCACAAGACCUCCUCCACUUGCUACUGUGUCCGGAAUUGGUGGGUUCUUGGUCUCACUGACUUCAAGAAUGAAGCCGCGGACCCUCGCGGGAGUGGCAAAUCAAAGGCAUUGCAGCCUCUUUCAUCACUGCCGAUUGCUGAUGCCAACCAUGUGCCAAGUGCUUAAUACGUCACCUUAAAUCUUCUCAUCCACCCUCAGAGUAGCUGCAGCAUCAACCCAGUGCCCUGACUUUCAAGACGACUAUGAAAACACCCCAACUGCUGCUAAAUUACCAGCAACAAGGAUCUGACAUUCUUAUUCAAAAGAAAGAACACCGAAAUUGACCUUACCCUGACAAUAUGAUGGCUGAAGGAUUUAUGAUCACUUAUAACAUUUGAAAUUGAGGCGGAACCUGAAGAAUAAGACUCUGGUGAAAGGUCCUAUUUAUGCUUUUGAUGUCUUUCACUUGGACAUUUACCACAUGCCUAUUGGUAGGUUUGUUACAUAGGUCAGUUAAGGUGAUACAAGAAUAAAUAAAACACUAUCCCUAUCCUUUAAUAUCAUUUAUUUAUGGGGUCAAUCACAGAUUUUCAUUUUUCAAAAUCUUUGAUAAAUGUCAGAAUUAUGUUUUUUAAUAUUUUUACAGAAUUAUUACAAUAUAUGGUAGAGGAUGGAAGGCAAGGUAGUAUGAAACGGAAAAGAUAUUUUGAAUUAAGGUAUUUGGACCUGGAUUAAUAUUUUUGCUUUGGUCUUUAUUAGCUGAGUGACCUUGAGAAAGUUCUUCUACUAAAAAAGAACAAAGAUAAUAAUUACUUCAUGAAAUUGCUGUAAAAAACACAUAACAAGUAUAUCCAGACUCAACAGUGUAUGCUCAAAAAUGCAGAUCCUUUUUCCCUUACCUGCAAAUAAAGUCUUACAGUAAUACAGUGGGGGUAAAGGUUUAAACUGGUGGAUUCAAGAAGGGCUAUAGAAAGAGGUAGCAUCUUAAUAGGGGAAGGAGAGGAUCCAAGAAAUCAGAUCCAUUUUCUACAAAAAGAAAUGGGAAGACAGAUAAUUCAAGAAGAAAAGUUUACAUGAUUAAAGACCCGAAGUUAGAAAUAGUGAUGUGUCUCAAUAGUAAGUUAGGAAUUGGGGUGGACACAAUUGUUGGAAGAAGGAUGGUUUCAGCAAAGGCCCAAGUUAGGUGACAAUUUCAAGUGUUUGUGAAGAUAUAUGAACAAAAUUAUAAAGUAGUUAGGGUAUAAGAAAUAGGGAGGAGGGAAUGAAUUAACAUUUAUGGAGUGUCUUGCAUGUUCCAAGCACUGUACUACUUGCCUUAUAAACCUUUCUUCAAUAAACGCCUACAACAAUCCUGAGAU
This 1477-nucleotide long non-coding RNA is filed under the name Homo sapiens (human). RNAcentral describes it as "long intergenic non-protein coding RNA 1505". Lineage: Eukaryota; Metazoa; Chordata; Mammalia; Primates; Hominidae. The record is from RNAcentral.